GGUUAAGCGACUAAGCGUACACGGUGGAUGCCCUGGCAGUCAGAGGCGAUGAAGGACGUGCUAAUCUGCGAUAAGCGUCGGUAAGGUGAUAUGAACCGUUAUAACCGGCGAUUUCCGAAUGGGGAAACCCAGUGUGAUUCGUCACACUAUCAUUAACUGAAUCCAUAGGUUAAUGAGGCGAACCGGGGGAACUGAAACAUCUAAGUACCCCGAGGAAAAGAAAUCAACCGAGAUUCCCCCAGUAGCGGCGAGCGAACGGGGAGCAGCCCAGAGCCUGAAUCAGUGUGUGUGUUAGUGGAAGCGUCUGGAAAGGCGUGCGAUACAGGGUGACAGCCCCGUACACAAAAAUGCACAUGCUGUGAGCUCGAUGAGUAGGGCGGGACACGUGGUAUCCUGUCUGAAUAUGGGGGGACCAUCCUCCAAGGCUAAAUACUCCUGACUGACCGAUAGUGAACCAGUACCGUGAGGGAAAGGCGAAAAGAACCCCGGCGAGGGGAGUGAAAAAGAACCUGAAACCGUGUACGUACAAGCAGUGGGAGCACGCUUAGGCGUGUGACUGCGUACCUUUUGUAUAAUGGGUCAGCGACUUAUAUUCUGUAGCAAGGUUAACCGAAUAGGGGAGCCGAAGGGAAACCGAGUCUUAACUGGGCGUUAAGUUGCAGGGUAUAGACCCGAAACCCGGUGAUCUAGCCAUGGGCAGGUUGAAGGUUGGGUAACACUAACUGGAGGACCGAACCGACUAAUGUUGAAAAAUUAGCGGAUGACUUGUGGCUGGGGGUGAAAGGCCAAUCAAACCGGGAGAUAGCUGGUUCUCCCCGAAAGCUAUUUAGGUAGCGCCUCGUGAAUUCAUCUCCGGGGGUAGAGCACUGUUUCGGCAAGGGGGUCAUCCCGACUUACCAACCCGAUGCAAACUGCGAAUACCGGAGAAUGUUAUCACGGGAGACACACGGCGGGUGCUAACGUCCGUCGUGAAGAGGGAAACAACCCAGACCGCCAGCUAAGGUCCCAAAGUCAUGGUUAAGUGGGAAACGAUGUGGGAAGGCCCAGACAGCCAGGAUGUUGGCUUAGAAGCAGCCAUCAUUUAAAGAAAGCGUAAUAGCUCACUGGUCGAGUCGGCCUGCGCGGAAGAUGUAACGGGGCUAAACCAUGCACCGAAGCUGCGGCAGCGACACUAUGUGUUGUUGGGUAGGGGAGCGUUCUGUAAGCCUGUGAAGGUGUACUGUGAGGUAUGCUGGAGGUAUCAGAAGUGCGAAUGCUGACAUAAGUAACGAUAAAGCGGGUGAAAAGCCCGCUCGCCGGAAGACCAAGGGUUCCUGUCCAACGUUAAUCGGGGCAGGGUGAGUCGACCCCUAAGGCGAGGCCGAAAGGCGUAGUCGAUGGGAAACAGGUUAAUAUUCCUGUACUUGGUGUUACUGCGAAGGGGGGACGGAGAAGGCUAUGUUGGCCGGGCGACGGUUGUCCCGGUUUAAGCGUGUAGGCUGGUUUUCCAGGCAAAUCCGGAAAAUCAAGGCUGAGGCGUGAUGACGAGGCACUACGGUGCUGAAGCAACAAAUGCCCUGCUUCCAGGAAAAGCCUCUAAGCAUCAGGUAACAUCAAAUCGUACCCCAAACCGACACAGGUGGUCAGGUAGAGAAUACCAAGGCGCUUGAGAGAACUCGGGUGAAGGAACUAGGCAAAAUGGUGCCGUAACUUCGGGAGAAGGCACGCUGAUAUGUAGGUGAAGUCCCUCGCGGAUGGAGCUGAAAUCAGUCGAAGAUACCAGCUGGCUGCAACUGUUUAUUAAAAACACAGCACUGUGCAAACACGAAAGUGGACGUAUACGGUGUGACGCCUGCCCGGUGCCGGAAGGUUAAUUGAUGGGGUCAGCGCAAGCGAAGCUCUUGAUCGAAGCCCCGGUAAACGGCGGCCGUAACUAUAACGGUCCUAAGGUAGCGAAAUUCCUUGUCGGGUAAGUUCCGACCUGCACGAAUGGCGUAAUGAUGGCCAGGCUGUCUCCACCCGAGACUCAGUGAAAUUGAACUCGCUGUGAAGAUGCAGUGUACCCGCGGCAAGACGGAAAGACCCCGUGAACCUUUACUAUAGCUUGACACUGAACAUUGAGCCUUGAUGUGUAGGAUAGGUGGGAGGCUUUGAAGUGUGGACGCCAGUCUGCAUGGAGCCGACCUUGAAAUACCACCCUUUAAUGUUUGAUGUUCUAACGUUGACCCGUGAUCCGGGUUGCGGACAGUGUCUGGUGGGUAGUUUGACUGGGGCGGUCUCCUCCUAAAGAGUAACGGAGGAGCACGAAGGUUGGCUAAUCCUGGUCGGACAUCAGGAGGUUAGUGCAAUGGCAUAAGCCAGCUUGACUGCGAGCGUGACGGCGCGAGCAGGUGCGAAAGCAGGUCAUAGUGAUCCGGUGGUUCUGAAUGGAAGGGCCAUCGCUCAACGGAUAAAAGGUACUCCGGGGAUAACAGGCUGAUACCGCCCAAGAGUUCAUAUCGACGGCGGUGUUUGGCACCUCGAUGUCGGCUCAUCACAUCCUGGGGCUGAAGUAGGUCCCAAGGGUAUGGCUGUUCGCCAUUUAAAGUGGUACGCGAGCUGGGUUUAGAACGUCGUGAGACAGUUCGGUCCCUAUCUGCCGUGGGCGCUGGAGAACUGAGGGGGGCUGCUCCUAGUACGAGAGGACCGGAGUGGACGCAUCACUGGUGUUCGGGUUGUCAUGCCAAUGGCACUGCCCGGUAGCUAAAUGCGGAAGAGAUAAGUGCUGAAAGCAUCUAAGCACGAAACUUGCCCCGAGAUGAGUUCUCCCUGACUCCUUGAGAGUCCUGAAGGAACGUUGAAGACGACGACGUUGAUAGGCCGGGUGUGUAAGCGCAGCGAUGCGUUGAGCUAACCGGUACUAAUGAACCGUGAGGCUUAACCUUACAACGCCGAAGG
RNAcentral lists this ribosomal RNA (2916 nucleotides) under Escherichia coli. RNAcentral's name for it is "23S ribosomal RNA". It matches the Rfam family "Bacterial large subunit ribosomal RNA". Lineage: Bacteria; Pseudomonadati; Pseudomonadota; Gammaproteobacteria; Enterobacterales; Enterobacteriaceae. The record is from RNAcentral.